RNAcentral lists this ribosomal RNA (219 nucleotides) under Merdimmobilis hominis. RNAcentral's name for it is "Bacterial small subunit ribosomal RNA". It matches the Rfam family "Bacterial small subunit ribosomal RNA", at positions 87 to 304 of the family's 1533-position model. Lineage: Bacteria; Bacillati; Bacillota; Clostridia; Eubacteriales; Oscillospiraceae. The record is from Rfam by way of RNAcentral.
UUAACUGAGUGGCGGACGGGUGAGUAACGCGUGAGUAACCUGCCUCAAAGAGGGGGAUAACGUCUGGAAACGGACGCUAAUACCGCAUGACAUAUCGUUAUGGCAUCAUAAUGAUAUCAAAGGAGCAAUCCGCUUUGAGAUGGACUCGCGUCCAAUUAGCUAGUUGGUGAGGUAACGGCCCACCAAGGCGACGAUUGGUAGCCGGACUGAGAGGUUGAA